UACGUAGGGGGCAAGCGUUGUCCGGAAUUAUUGGGCGUAAAGCGCGCGCAGGCGGUCGUUUAAGUCUGGUGUUUAAUCCCGGGGCUCAACCCCGGUACGCACUGGAAACUGGGCGACUGGAGUGCAGUAGAGGAGAGUGGAAUUCCACGUGUAGCGGUGAAAUGCGUAGAUAUGUGGAGGAACACCAGUGGCGAAGGCGACUCUCUGGUCUGUCACUGACGCUGAGGCGCGAAAGCGUGGGGAGCAAACAGG
RNAcentral lists this ribosomal RNA (252 nucleotides) under uncultured bacterium. Its description in RNAcentral is "partial 16S ribosomal RNA". It matches the Rfam family "Bacterial small subunit ribosomal RNA", at positions 524 to 776 of the family's 1533-position model. The record is from RNAcentral.